RNAcentral lists this long non-coding RNA (269 nucleotides) under Medicago truncatula (barrel medic). Its description in RNAcentral is "long non-coding RNA (MTRU_LNC007576)". Lineage: Eukaryota; Viridiplantae; Streptophyta; Magnoliopsida; Fabales; Fabaceae. The record is from RNAcentral.
CAAUAAAGUACCCAUAUCUAUACAACUUGAGCAUGUAAAUUCAAUAUCAACAACUUAAUUAUCAUAAAUUCAUAUACAUAAACAUAACAUCAAAAUAAGAGAACGAAUUUCACCACUUAAAUUCACAAUAAUUACUCCUCACAAUUAAGCACUUAUGAAUCUAAGUAGAAAAAAUAUUAUAACUUAAAGAUUAUGAAUGAACACUAUCCCCCUUACCUCUAUUGAGCACAAACCUAGCCUUAGCUUCACUUUUGCUCCUAUAAUCUCUA